This 495-nucleotide ribosomal RNA is filed under the name uncultured bacterium. RNAcentral describes it as "partial 16S ribosomal RNA". It matches the Rfam family "Bacterial small subunit ribosomal RNA", at positions 28 to 507 of the family's 1533-position model. The record is from RNAcentral.
GACGAACGCUGGCGGCGUGCCUAAUACAUGCAAGUAGAACGGUGAGGGAGGGGCUUGCUGGUCUGGAUGAGUGGCGAACGGGUGAGUAACGCGUAGGUAACCUGCCUGGUAGCGGGGGAUAACUACUGGAAACGAUAGCUAAUACCGCAUAAUAGUAGAUGUUGCAUGACGUUUGCUGCAAAGGUGCAAUUGCAUGACUUGGAGACGGGCCUGCGUCGUAUUAGCAUGGUGUUGAGGCAACGGCUGACUAAGGCGACGAUCCAUAGCAAACCUGAGAAGGGGAGCGGCCAGACUGGGAAUGAGACACGGCCCAGACUCAUACGGGUGGCAGCCAGAGGGAUACUUCGGACAUGGACGGAAAACGGAGCGAGCAACGCGGCGGGAGGAAACAAGGAUGUCGGAUGGUGAAUCUCGGGUGUGUGAGUAGAAAGAGUGUUCGACUGGAACGUUCACAGUGUGACGGUAUUUGAUCAGAAAGCUACGGCUAACUACGUG